Molecule: long non-coding RNA, 460 nt
Filed under: Fukomys damarensis (Damara mole-rat)
Lineage: Eukaryota; Metazoa; Chordata; Mammalia; Rodentia; Bathyergidae
Description: lncRNA (ENSFDAG00000033052.1)
Source: RNAcentral
GGAAGGCUGAGUCUACUCUGGUAGGAGCCCAGAGAGCAGGAGAUGCAGGACUUGCCAGUGCCCUCUGGGAAGGCUCAUCAGCAGAGACAGCACUGUGACAGGACACUGGACACCUGGACGGUGGUCAGUAGCUUGGAAGAAGGGAGGAGCACUAUCUCCUCAGUGGGAGACAUUUGGAGAGAAAGAGCAAAACUAAGUUUAGGAGAGAAGUGAGAGACACCUCACUGUCUUUUCUGGAGAAGGGACACCUCGUACAGCAGACAUCCAAGGAGCAUUCCACCCGCAUCUUCUAUCUUAGUCACUUUCCUGGUUGCUGAGACAAGGUAAGGAAGGAGAGACUUGUUUUGGCUCCUAUUUCAGCCUACAGUUGGCUGGCUCCAAGUCAGAACGUAGGGCAGAGGUAGGUACCUGGUGGGGGACGGCUCACAGCAUGGUGGACAGGAAGCAGAGUGAGUCAAGG